UAGUCUACGCCGUAAACGAUGGAUACUAGCUGUUCGGAUCUAUCUGAGUGGCUAAGCGAAAGUGAUAAGUAUCCCACCUGGGGAGUACGUUCGCAAGAAUGAAACUCAAAGGAAUUGACGGGGGCCCGCACAAGCGGUGGAGCAUGUGGUUUAAUUCGAUGAUACGCGAGGAACCUUACCAGGGCUUAAAUGUAGAUUGACAGGUUUAGAGAUAGACUUUUCUUCGGACAAUUUACAAGGUGCUGCAUGGUUGUCGUCAGCUCGUGCCGUGAGGUGUCAGGUUAAGUCCUAUAACGAGCGCAACCCCUGUUGUUAGUUGCCUAGCAUGUAAAGAUGGGAACUCUAACAAGACUAGUCAGUGCAAACUGUGAGGAAGGUGGGGAUGACGUCAAAUCAUCACGGCCCUUACGUCCUGGGCUACACACGUGCUACAAUGUAGGGACAGAGAGCAGCCACUGGGCACCNGAGCGAAUCUAUAAACUCUAAUCACAGUUCGG
This 497-nucleotide ribosomal RNA is filed under the name uncultured bacterium. Its description in RNAcentral is "bacterial SSU rRNA". It matches the Rfam family "Bacterial small subunit ribosomal RNA", at positions 791 to 1296 of the family's 1533-position model. The record is from RNAcentral.